CAACGGAUCUCUUGGUUCCGGCAUCGAUGAAGAACGCAGCGAAAUGCGAUACGUAAUGUGAAUUGCAAAUUCAGUGAAUCAUCGAGUCUUUGAACGCACAUUGCGCCCCCUGGUAUUCCGGGGGGCAUGCCUGUCCGAGCGUCAUUGCUGCCCUCA
Molecule: ribosomal RNA, 156 nt
Filed under: Penicillium viridicatum
Lineage: Eukaryota; Fungi; Ascomycota; Eurotiomycetes; Eurotiales; Aspergillaceae
Description: 5.8S ribosomal RNA
Rfam family: 5.8S ribosomal RNA
About the family: 5.8S ribosomal RNA (5.8S rRNA) is a component of the large subunit of the eukaryotic ribosome. It is transcribed by RNA polymerase I as part of the 45S precursor that also contains 18S and 28S rRNA. Functionally, it is thought that 5.8S rRNA may be involved in ribosome translocation.
Source: RNAcentral